This 468-nucleotide ribosomal RNA is filed under the name uncultured bacterium. RNAcentral's name for it is "partial 16S ribosomal RNA". It matches the Rfam family "Bacterial small subunit ribosomal RNA", at positions 28 to 507 of the family's 1533-position model. The record is from RNAcentral.
GACGAACGCUGGCGGCGUGCUUAACACAUGCAAGUCGAACGGAAAGGCCCUGCUUUUGUGGGGUGCUCGAGUGGCGAACGGGUGAGUAACACGUGAGUAACCUGCCCUUGACUUUGGGAUAACUUCAGGAAACUGGGGCUAAUACCGGAUAGGAGCUCCUGCUGCAUGGUGGGGGUUGGAAAGUUUCGGCGGUUGGGGAUGGACUCGCGGCUUAUCAGCUUGUUGGUGGGGUAGUGGCUUACCAAGGCUUUGACGGGUAGCCGGCCUGAGAGGGUGACCGGCCACAUUGGGACUGAGAUACGGACCAGACUACUACGGGAGGCAGCAGUGGGGAAUAUUGCACAAUGGGCGGAAGCCUGAUGCAGCAACGCCGCGUGCGGGAUGACGGCCUUCGGGUUGUAAACCGCUUUCGCCUGUGACGAAGCGUGAGUGACGGUAAUGGGUAAAGAAGCACCGGCUAACUACGUG